UUACGACUUUAAACACCGUAGCCCCUGGAAAAUAAAUAACUCUCUGCUGAGGGACGAGAGAUUUGCAGACUCACUGGCAGGGGACCUCCACACAUACUUCCAGCUAAAUGACACUAAAGAAACCACAGAUGCUACUCUGUGGCUUACACACAAAUCAGUAGCGAGAGGCCUACUAAUACACAGAGCAACAUACGUAAAAAAAGAAACGUCAAACGCAGCUUAGAGCAUGGCAGGCAGAACUGUACGAGAUGAAUAGACUAAACCAAACCACAC
Molecule: non-coding RNA, 273 nt
Organism: Pelobates cultripes (western spadefoot toad)
Lineage: Eukaryota; Metazoa; Chordata; Amphibia; Anura; Pelobatidae
Source: the annotation of a GenBank genome assembly